This 496-nucleotide ribosomal RNA is filed under the name uncultured bacterium. RNAcentral's name for it is "partial 16S ribosomal RNA". It matches the Rfam family "Bacterial small subunit ribosomal RNA", at positions 28 to 506 of the family's 1533-position model. The record is from RNAcentral.
GAUGAACGCUGGCGGCGUGCCUAAUACAUGCAAGUCGAGCGAACGGACGAGAAGCUUGCUUCUCUGAUGUUAGCGGCGGACGGGUGAGUAACACGUGGAUAACCUACCUAUAAGACUGGGAUAACUUCGGGAAACCGUAGCUAAUACCGGAUAAUAUUUUGAACCGCAUGGUUCAAAAGUGAAAGACGGUCUUGCUGUCACUUAUAGAUGGAUCCGCGCUGCAUUAGCUAGUUGGUAAGGUAACGGCUUACCAAGGCAACGAUGCAUAGCCGACCUGAGAGGGGGAUCGGCCCCACUGGAAAUGGGACACGGCCCAGACCCCGACGGGGGGCAGCAGUAGGGAAUUUUCCGCAAUGGGCGAAAGCCUGACGGAGCAACGCCGGGUGAGUGAAGAAGGUCUUCGGAUCGUAAAACUUUUUUAUUAGGGAAGAACAUAUGUGUAAGUAACUGGCCAAAUUUUGACGGUACCUAAUCAAAAAGCCACGGCUAACUACGU